Molecule: ribosomal RNA, 465 nt
Filed under: Vreelandella stevensii
Lineage: Bacteria; Pseudomonadati; Pseudomonadota; Gammaproteobacteria; Oceanospirillales; Halomonadaceae
Description: partial 16S ribosomal RNA
Rfam family: Bacterial small subunit ribosomal RNA
Source: RNAcentral
CCUACGGAGGGCAGCAGUGGGGAAUAUUGGACAAUGGGGGGAACCCUGAUCCAGCCAUGCCGCGUGUGUGAAGAAGGCCCUCGGGUUGUAAAGCACUUUCAGUGAGGAAGAACGCCUGGUGGUUAAUACCCAUCAGGAAAGACAUCACUCACAGAAGAAGCACCGGCUAACUCCGUGCCAGCAGCCGCGGUAAUACGGAGGGUGCGAGCGUUAAUCGGAAUUACUGGGCGUAAAGCGCGCGUAGGUGGCUUGAUAAGCCGGUUGUGAAAGCCCCGGGCUCAACCUGGGAACGGCAUCCGGAACUGUCAAGCUAGAGUGCAGGAGAGGAAGGUAGAAUUCCCGGUGUAGCGGUGAAAUGCGUAGAGAUCGGGAGGAAUACCAGUGGCGAAGGCGGCCUUCUGGACUGACACUGACACUGAGGUGCGAAAGCGUGGGUAGCAAACAGGAUUAGAUACCCGUGUAGUC